Molecule: ribosomal RNA, 422 nt
Filed under: uncultured eukaryote
Lineage: Eukaryota
Description: bacterial SSU rRNA
Rfam family: Eukaryotic small subunit ribosomal RNA
Source: RNAcentral
CAAUAGCGUAUAUUAAAGUUGUUGCAGUUAAAAAGCUCGUAGUUGGAUUUCUGGCCGGAGAGACCGGUCGGCGCCCUUUGGGCGUGUGCACUGUUGUCUGCUCCGGCCAUCCUUGCGGAGAGCGCAUGUGCCCUUAAUUGGGUGUGUGUGGGAUCCGCAACGUUUACUGUGAAAAAAUUAGAGUGUUCAAAGCGGGCUUACGCUUGAAUAUAUUAGCAUGGAAUAACACUAUAGGACUCCUGUCCUAUCUCGUUGGUCUCGGGAUGGGAGUAAUGAUUAAGAGGAACAGUUGGGGGCAUUCGUAUUUCAUUGUCAGAGGUGAAAUUCUUGGAUUUAUGAAAGACGAACUUCUGCGAAAGCAUUUUGCCCAAGGAUGUUUUCAUUAAUCAAGAACGAAAGUUGGGGCUCGAAGAUGAUCAGAU